Long non-coding RNA from Mus spicilegus (steppe mouse), 2159 nucleotides. The record is from Ensembl. NCBI's taxonomy places the organism in Eukaryota, Metazoa, Chordata, Mammalia, Rodentia, Muridae.
UUUCCAAAUGGCCCUUGAUUAGCUCUUUUUCCUACGUUUUACUUGGCAAGACCAACCACCAAAAAUAGUCUCCCCACAGCCGUGUUCUUUGUAUUCACCCAGUUGCAUUUUUAAUUUAUUCAUGGUGCACACAGCCACUACAAGGACACCAGCCUGGCAGAGUAAGAGGAGAGAACACAGAGGGAUGGGCUCUCUGUCUUGGCACUUCUUCCUCCCCCUUCUCCCAAGGGGCUGCUCACUCAGUGACAAGCGAGCUGAGCCCUAACUCGUGGAAGCCUUGCACUUGGAGGUAACGAGAGGCCACAGGCUCAGCCACCGGUGGGUCUCAGUUUCAGAUGUAAAUAAUACAUCCUGCUGACUCUGGGCUGUGGGUUCUCAGGCUGCACAGAUGCCUGUAAACGGUGCUUUGAAAGCUGCAGCUUUCUGGCACGUGACUGCGGAUCUUCAGGCGCUCAUUUUGCUUUUUUAUUCGUUAAAAUUUUUAUUAGUGUAUAUUGAUUUCACAAAGUGAUGUUUUGUGACCUCUUCACUGCGGUAUCUCAUGUUCUUUACUGCUGCCGGCCUUCAUUGUUCACCCAGCUUUUGUGGAUUCGUCAUCUCAGCCUUUGCAGAGAGCCCACAAGAAACCUCUUGUCAGGCCUCUUCCUGUGAUCUACCACGUGGACUAGCCACAGAGAACUGAAGGAGACAGUGGCGGCAGGAGAUGCCUGGGACACUAGGGUGACAAGCUGUCUGGGCUUCCUCUUCCUGUGGCUUCCUUUCUGCAUUUUGCACCGGGAUCCCAUUGACCAUUGUGACCUCUGAUGCAGAUCGGUGGGAGAGACGGAAGAUGCUUAUCUCUGUUGUCUGCUGACUGGAGGUCUCUUCAGCUAGUUUUGAUCCAAGUUCACACACAUUAUGUGAGCACAAGAGCUUCUAACCCUUAAACAGAGAACAGUAGAUGGAUCUUACUAAGUUCUCUAGCACCCACCAGUUAUCCUGUGCUGAGCUGUCCCCGUGUGAGAAUCCUGGUUCUGCACUGGAAAAGCUGCUGGCUCCAUGCUGUUCUUCUUCGUGCUCCUCUGUGUUCCUGAGGAAGAAAGACUAUCAUUUAUUUCCGAGAGACACACUCAUCAUUUUUCGGUACAUAAACCAAGUCCAAAAGGUUCUCAGAAGGUAAUGUGGGACCUCACUCACCGGCUGCUCUUUAAAAGGAAUUCAUUUCCUCUUGGCUUCUAUCCUGUGGCUUCACCCUCUGGACGAACGUGAGCUCUUACUCGGUAAAGGUGAGUGUUCUUUCUCAGUAUGACCACACUAACACAGCUGUUCCCAAACUUACUGAGAAAGAAGAGCAGGCGGGUGAUAAAAGAAAACCGGAUUGGAGGGUUUAAAGAGUAGCCUUAAAACAUUCACAGGUUUUGAGAGUUUCAAGGUAAUUUCUCAAAUCAGAAAACUUGGACGUGGCUCUGAGUUCACAACUUUUCUCAUUGCCAUGACUGAGCACCGGAUGAGAGACGGCCACAGAGGAAGGACUUAUUUUGGAUCAUGAUUUGAGGUUAUACUCCAUUGCAGUAGGAAGACAUAGGUACCACUGGGGGCAGUUUGUAGUUAUGGUAACAGGAGUAUGAGGUUGCUUGCUCACCUCUCCUGGACCAGGAGGCAGAGAGAGGACAUGUAGUGGACCGUGUCAUAAACAGAACGCUCAUCCCUAAGAACUCAUUUCUUGUCGCUGGGCCACAUCUCAUAAAGGACUCUACACUUUCCUAUAGCUGCACCAUUAGCUGUAAGAGUUCAGACACAUGAGCCUCUCAGGAAAUCAAAUUUUUAAGAGUUGCCUUUUGAGCACAGAGAAGUCUGUGGACACUCCUGUGCGUAUACCCAGAAUGCACAGCUUCCAGACCCAUAGGCUGUCUAGCUACUUUGUGUCAUUCUUUGUCAAGGAGACUGAAUAGUCCAUCAGUGAGGGGCUGGCUGUCCCCAGAACUGGGACCAGUGUCUAGAAUCCCAGGUGUGGCACUGUGAGCCAAUGUGUUAGGCAGUCCUUUGUGCCUCACCAAUGAGGUGUGGCUUCCACUUCUGUUCUGAAAGAUUCCAGAGUUUACUCAACUGUGCGUCUCUUCAUGUAUCUCACCUACCUGGCACAUCCACUCAGCAUUUAUCUUAAAAGUUCCUUUUAAAAU